UGUAUUUUCCAAUUAUCUUUGAAAUCUUUUGUAAUCAAGAAAAAAAAUUCUCAAAAUAAAGGGAAAUGGGCCAUGAAAUAGGCCAUGACUUGAAGGGAAGAAACCUGUAGAGAUGAUAUGUAAGCCAUGGAGCAUUUAUUCCUUCCAUACUUCAGGGGAUAUUUUUUUCUUUCCUGAACACUGAGAUGGCCAGUCUUUCCAUCUCUUACCAUAAAAUGCCUGACAGCUUAGAUUUCAAAGCUUUUCUUUAAAGCUCAGAUCUUCUCUCAGUAAAACCUAUAUUCCUCCAUGCCUAGGCAAUAAAUGGCCACAAGAAUCUACUAGGUAUUUGGAAACAAUCAUUUCUCUUUUCUUUAUAUUGACUGGAUUAACUUUUGCCAAGAGACAAAUGAUCUGCCUGGAUCACUCAGUUCCUUAUUCUUUGAUUUAAUUAGGGAUUAGAUGGUAAUAGACUGGAAAUAAAUUCUCUUUUCACUGACCUAAAUUAACUUGGCUUUUGAAAUAUGGCAUAGUCUCAACAAUUAUCUGAAAGGAAAAAAUACAUAUAUAAUAACCCAUUACAUGCAGGAAACUGUACCAAUCCAACCACUUAAACAUGUCUCAUUAACACCAUCUGUAAUAAAUACUCCCAACUCUUUGAGUAAUGGAAGCCAUUUCUGUCCAUACGAUAUAGGAAUAAGGAAAGGUGGUGGGAAGGAAUUCCCUUCCCAACAAGUAUUUUUGAGUAGGAAUCUAUUUUUGUAGCAAGAUCAUUUGUUGGCCAAGUCUUGUUUCUUGUUUGACAGACCUACUUCCCACCAUGUGCCUCUGUCCUCUGCAGUAUAGCUUCCACACAGUGAUGGGAUUUCUCUCCCUAAAACCCUCCAUUUAGUAUAUUCAUCUCUCCUCACAACUUACAUUUUUAUAGAAAAUUGUGGUUUGCAAAGGCUUUCACACAAAAGAUGUUGUGUGAUCUUAACAAAAACUCUAGAAGACAAGAAUUUUACAGAUGAAGAAACUAAGUUCAGAGAGAUUGUUACUUGUCCAGAUACUCCUGCUAGUAAGAAGUGGUUAUCACAUGAAAACUUCUUUUCUAACAUGUGAUUGAUUGAGUGUUUCAUCUGUCAAUAAUCCUGAUAAUACCAAUUUGUCUUGAUGUUGAGUUUUAAGACAUUUUUCUCAUCCAUAUGCAUUUAACCACUUCCACACUGCCUCUCGAUAAUGAUUAGUGUGUAUGCUGUGUACCCUAAUCUCAAAUUCAUUUUAAUGAAAAUCAUUCUUGGAGGAUGGCACAAAGGACAUUACCUAGAACAAGCCAGCAUGUAGACAUUCAACCCAUCAAAGCCGUCUGGGUAAGAUGUACUUCAUUCACCAGAACUGUUGGAUAACCUAGGGAGCUUAAGGUACCUGAUCUUAUCUCCAGACAUAGCCUUUGCUCUCCCAGACCUUUUUUCUUUUCUGAGUUCUGACUCUGGUAUGGCCCUUACUGACAUAGUUGGUAUGAUCUCCUGCAGCAGGUAACUUGCUAUCCUGUAACAUGCUAUUUUUAGAUUUGUAAUAAUCUCCCCACACCCCACUCACUUACUCCAUGUUUUGCCCACAUCCUACUACAUGCACACAUACACACAAAGACAUGCCCUAGACUAUAUAGUUGCCCUGAGAGGAGAUACGGGUCUUACUCUUCUUACUGUAUCUUCCUAUUGCCAAUAGAUGCCUAAAAUUUUUUGCUAUGUUAAAUUGAUCACUAUAUUUUUAAAUUAGAGUGUCUACUAGAAAGUACAGCUAUGCAAUUAUAAUUGUAUAUUUUAUGACCCACUCUUUCCCCUACCUGCCUCUAUUUCCUUUUUCUUACACCACAAAUUCUUUCAUUUAUUUUAAUACCUUUCAGCAAAUAACUUUAUAUUUUAUUUCAUGGGAUGGUGAUCAUAAGGCCUCUAACUUAUUUCAGCCUAAGACUCUAACAUUUGAAUUAGCCUGGGAAAAGUUUGGGAAAUCACUAUUUAUUCUAUGCUUCUCAUUCAAUUUCUCUAGGCAAAAUAUCCUCUACUCUUUAAAAAGUGUAUUCACUUCUAAAUGAGGAUACAAAUUUCAUUUUUCGAGGUCAAACUAGCCCAAUUCAAUAUUCUUUGUUGUUGUGCUCAAUUAUAAAAUGGAAAGAUUGGAAGAAAAUACAAUUUUAUUAUAUAACAUAAUAACAUGAGCUAGGCUAAAAAUAUUGUUUACCAUGUCCUGAUCAUGUUUUCAAGAUUUUUUUUAAACAGCUUGACAAUAUUUAAUUUUGUUAGUAGAACGCGUGGUCUGGAUUAUUUCUUUUUUGAAAUGUGGAUGGAUCUGGUAACUAAGGCAUCUUAGAAGAGAAUACUGGCCUUUCCAUCUUUGGUCACAAAAGGAGAGCUUAAACAGAAAUGCUGAGAAGGCAAGUAUAGCAGAGAAUGUGAAGAAAUCCCCGCCAUGGUACCCACAGCAGAUGUUUUCAAAGUUUGGGGAUGGUGAAGGACCCAGGGGACGGUGCCAAGGAGCAGCACGAGGUGCCGUGUGAUAAAUGGAGCUGUCUCUUUCCCAUUACAGGAACAUAGCAAGUUUCAAGAGCAAAUCAGAAACCUAGAAUGAUUAAUUGUGUAGUCUACAACGAGUCCUGUUGUGUUUGUCUAUGAAUCCCUUUGCUCUGAAGAUCAGACACACCAGGUGCAGAGAAACACCUGGCUAUGAUGAACCCUGUGAGUUUCUUAGUAACCCAUUCCAAAAAAAGGGGGAACAGUGGUUUUGUUUACAGGUGAACAGUAGGAAGGGGAUCAAAGCUGGUGAGAAAACUGAAAUGGUGGAGUAAGAACAAAAGCAUCCCUUUAACAUCAAGCCAAGAGCUGUCAUAUCUCUGGCUUAGCUUCCUCUUUCUCUAUACCUGCUUGGCAUCAAUGAGGAACAAAGUAUUUUAAGGAAGUCAUAGCUUCGUUCUUACUUAUUGCCACCCACCGAUUCCACUGUCACCUCGCAGUCACCUUUGCAUGUGACCUAAGGCAGUUUCAGCUAAGCGUUAGCAGUGAAGAGCAUAGCCAUUGAGCACACCGGUUUCUGGGCCCAAACCCCACAUUUUACUACCCAUGUGACACGGCACAAAUUAUCGAAAGUCUCUGUGCCUCACCAUCUGCCCAAAUAUGAUAUAACGUUAAUAAUACCCACCUAGGAAUUCUUAUCUAAGUAAAGUACACAUGAAUGUAAGAUGCCUGAAACAAUCAGUAAAUAGUAGCUAUUGUUGUUAAACAAGAUGGCCAGGGAGAUUACUGUUAUUUUUCUUUAAAGUGUAACCAGCACGUUAACAAUACUGUUUGCAUACUAAAUGAGUGUCUCAAUUACACAUAGUUAUUGACCCUUCCUUAAAGCUGAUGAGGUACACUAAUAUUUAGUUAGCUAAUUUUGUUGAACUGUAGAGGCAGCAUGGCUUGGUGGAAAGAUCUAGAUUCAAAUGCCAGCUCUAUUGUUCACUAAUUGCAAGCCUUAAAAAAAAAGAAAGGGGUUUAAUCUCUCGAUGCCUCAUCUGUUCUUUAAAAAGUGAGAAGAAAAAUACUUCAUUUUCAGGGUGGUAGUAAGAACUAAAUGAGAGAAUGCAAAUGCCUAGUGCAUAAUAGGUGUCUGUAAUAAAGGAUCGUUGACAAGACAGCACACAUUUACCUUACAGCAAUAAAAGUGCUCUCCAUUUUUAAUACCCUUUAAUUGUUUUCAUGAAUUCAUAGCAGCAUUCCUCCAAAUUAGUCUGAAUUUGUUAUGUUUUGUCAUGUGGUUUAAUUCCAAGUACAGCUAAAUGACAAGUGACCACGUCAGAAUGGUGCUGGGGGAGGGUAUCAUCUAAAACAGAUUAACGUGGAUGCAGCUCUUUUAAAAAUAUCUAGGGGGGAAAACUCUAAAAUGUCUCUUGAACACACCUCAAGCUGUUAGAGAGAGGAAGCUUUUACGUUUAUCUUUUCUAAGGGUAAACGAUUGGGUUUAGAUUAAUUGAAAACAAGGAGGGGAAAAAAUGCACAGAUCUAUGUAAAACAGACAGUGUCUAUGACAAGUGUUUCCAAAUACGUGGUUUCCAAAUAUGUAAUUGGUACAUUACAUAUCUCUGGCUUCUCUGAUUUCUAAAAAGCCAUGAAAGUUAAAUUAGGUUGAUUUAUUUCCAAAAGUGGUCAUUUGGAUUAUGUACCGAUAAUGGGACAUCAGUAUCCCUGAAAGCAAAAGAUUUAAAAUACAUAAAUAUAUUUUUAUGGCCCGCCGUGCCUAUUUCUAAAAUACUCUAAAUGUGAUACUGCCUUAGGCUGGCUUCCUUGGAAGGAGACACUGGGACAACAAUUCAUGUGCACGUGUGUGUUCUUAAGGAAGGGCUCCCCAUGGGCACCUAUUGGGAUGAGCACUGGGUGUUGUAUGGAAACCAAUUUGACAAUAAAUUUCACAUUAAAAAAAAGGAAGGGCUCCCCAAAAAAGAACUGGUAAGGAAGAGAGGAAAGCAGGACAGAGAAGGGAAAGAAAGCAAGCAAGGCUUUUUCCAUGGAGGACGGCUUUGGACCUGGUUCUGCAGGAGAACUCCGGAGGAUUCGUUAUGCUUAGAGUGGUCCCAGCUGGAAAAAAGCUGGAGCCUUUCUACAGCUGUGCCUGCUGGUCACUGAGCAGGGUCACUGGGAGAUGAGACAUGCUUUCCCAGACACUUCCUGCCCUCUGGAGCAACUGGCCAGGGAGAGUCACAGGUGCUGGCCCUUGGAGGUAAAAGCACAAGGACACUGGGGGAAAGGCACAUUGCAACAGGAAAAAGUAACUUUUCAUGGAGCAGGGAGAGGAUGAAAAAAAGUCACAGCUUUCCUUUCAA
Molecule: long non-coding RNA, 4816 nt
Organism: Herpailurus yagouaroundi (jaguarundi)
Lineage: Eukaryota; Metazoa; Chordata; Mammalia; Carnivora; Felidae
Exons: 2
Source: RefSeq, a predicted model, not a curated record